GGACCCGCACAAGCAGUGGAGCAUGUGGUUUAAUUCGAAGAUACGCGCAGAACCUUACCAACACUUGACAUGUUCGUCGCGAGACUAAGAGAUUAGUCUUUUCAGUUAGGCUGGACGAAACACAGGUGCUGCAUGGCUGUCGUCAGCUCGUGUCGUGAGAUGUUGGGUUAAGUCCCGCAACGAGCGCAACCCCGUACUUUUAGUUGCCACCAUUUAGUUGGGCACUUUAAAAGAACUGCCAGUGAUAAGCUGGGAGGAAGGUGGGGGAUGACGUCAAGUCCUCAUGGCCCUUACGUGUUGGGCUACACACGUGCUACAAUGGUAUCUACAACAGGAAGCAAGACUGCGAAGUUAAG
Molecule: ribosomal RNA, 356 nt
Filed under: uncultured bacterium
Lineage: Bacteria
Description: bacterial SSU rRNA
Rfam family: Bacterial small subunit ribosomal RNA
Source: RNAcentral